RNAcentral lists this ribosomal RNA (497 nucleotides) under uncultured bacterium. RNAcentral describes it as "partial 16S ribosomal RNA". It matches the Rfam family "Bacterial small subunit ribosomal RNA", at positions 28 to 507 of the family's 1533-position model. The record is from RNAcentral.
GAUGAACGCUGGCGGCGUGCCUAAUACAUGCAAGUCGAGCGAACAGACGAGGAGCUUGCUCCUCUGACGUUAGCGGCGGACGGGUGAGUAACACGUGGAUAACCUACCUAUAAGACUGGGAUAACUUCGGGAAACCGGAGCUAAUACCGGAUAAUAUAUUGAACCGCAUGGUUCAAUAGUGAAAGACGGUUUUGCUGUCACUUAUAGAUGGAUUCGCGCCGCAUUAGCUAGUUGGUAAGGUAACGGCUUACCAAGGCGACGAUGCGUAGCCGACCUGAGAGGGUGAUCGGCCACACUGGAACUGAGACACGGUCCAGACUCCUACGGGAGGCAGCAGUAGGGAAUCUUGCGCAAUGGGCGAAAGCCUGACGGAGCAACACCGCGUGAGUGAUGAAGGUCUUCGGAUCGUAAAACUCUGUUAUUAGGGAAGAACAGAUGUGUGAGUAACUAUGCACGUCUUGACGGUACCUAAUGAGAAAGCCACGGCUAACUACGUG